CCUUGGAGUGUGCUCCUCCCUGCUGGUGCGCCUUGGAGUCUGCACCUCCCUGCUGGUGCACCUUGGUGAGUGCACCUCACUGCUGGUCCUCCUCGGAGUGUCCAUCUUAUUGAAGGUGCGCCUUGGAGAGUGCAUCUUCCUGCUGGUGCAUGGAG
This is a long non-coding RNA of Hippocampus comes (tiger tail seahorse), 155 nucleotides long. RefSeq lists it as uncharacterized. The record is from RefSeq and is a predicted model, not a curated record. Lineage: Eukaryota; Metazoa; Chordata; Actinopteri; Syngnathiformes; Syngnathidae. The transcript is spliced from 3 exons.